UGGGGAAUAUUGCACAAUGGGCGAAAGCCUGAUGCAGCGACGCCGCGUGAGUGAAGAAGUAUUUCGGGGUGUAAGUUCUGUCAGUAGGGACGAAUUUUGACUGUACCUACAAAGGAAGCACCGGCUAACUCCGUGCCAGCAGCCGCGGUAAUACGGGGGGUGCAAGCGUUGUCCGGAAUCAUUGGGCGUAAAGCGUUCGUAGGCGGUAUAUCAAGUCUGGUGUUAAAGCCCGGGGCUCAACUCCGGUUCAGCAUCGGAUACUGGUAAACUAGAAUGCGGUAGAGGUAAGGGGAAUUCCUGGUGUAGCGGUGAAAUGCGUAGAUAUCAGGAGGAACAUCGGUGGCGAAGGCGCCUUACUGGGCCGUUAUUGACGCUGAGGAACGAAAGCCGGGGGGGCAAAUG
RNAcentral lists this ribosomal RNA (402 nucleotides) under uncultured bacterium. RNAcentral's name for it is "bacterial SSU rRNA". It matches the Rfam family "Bacterial small subunit ribosomal RNA", at positions 355 to 774 of the family's 1533-position model. The record is from RNAcentral.